RNAcentral lists this ribosomal RNA (207 nucleotides) under uncultured bacterium. Its description in RNAcentral is "partial 16S ribosomal RNA". It matches the Rfam family "Bacterial small subunit ribosomal RNA", at positions 568 to 774 of the family's 1533-position model. The record is from RNAcentral.
CGUGUAGGCGGUUCGGUAAGUGGGAUGUGAAAUGCCCGGGCUCACCCCGGGACCUGCAUCCCAUACUGCUGAGCUUGAGUACAGGAGAGGGUGGGGGAAUUCCUGGUGUAGCGGUGAAAUGCGUAGAUAUCAGGAGGAACACCGGUGGCAAAGGCGCCCACCUGGCCUGCUACUGACGCUGAUGCGCGAAAGCUAGGGGAGCAAACG